AGAGUUUGAUCCUGGCUCAGGAUGAACGCUAGCGGCAGGCCUAACACAUGCAAGUCGAGGGGUAACAGGGAUUAGCUUGCUAAUUUGCUGACGACCGGCGCACGGGUGCGUAACGCGUAUACAAUCUGCCUUAUACUGGGGUAUAGCCUUUAGAAAUGAAGAUUAAUCCCCCAUAGUCUCUUGAGAUGGCAUCAUUUUAGGAGUAAAGGUUACGGUAUAAGAUGAGUAUGCGUUCUAUUAGUUUGUUGGUGAGGUAACGGCUCACCAAGACUACGAUAGAUAGGGGCCCUGAGAGGGGGAUCCCCCACACUGGUACUGAGACGCGGACCAGACUCCUACGGGAGGCAGCAGUGAGGAAUAUUGGACAAUGGAGGCAACUCUGAUCCAGCCAUGCCGCGUGCAGGAAGACUGCCCUAUGGGUUGUAAACUGCUUUUAUAUAGGAAGAAACCUUGGUACGUGUACCAAGCUGACGGUACUAUAAGAAUAAGGAUCGGCUAACUCCGUGCCAGCAGCCGCGGUAAUACGGAGGAUCCAAGCGUUAUCCGGAAUCAUUGGGUUUAAAGGGUCCGUAGGUGGAUAAUUAAGUCAGAGGUGAAAUCUUGCAGCUCAACUGUAAAAUUGCCUUUGAUACUGGUUAUCUUGAGUUAUUAUGAAGUAGUUAGAAUAUGUAGUGUAGCGGUGAAAUGCAUAGAUAUUACAUAGAAUACCAAUUGCGAAGGCAGAUUACUAAUAAUCAACUGACACUGAUGGACGAAAAGCGUGGGUAGCGAACAGGAUUAGAUACCCUGGUAGUCCACGCCGUAAACGAUGGUUACUAGCUGUUUGGACCUUGCGUCUGAGUGGCUAGCGAAAGUGAUAAGUAACCCACCUGGGGAGUACGUUCGCAAGAAUGAACUUAAAGGAAUUGACGG
This 912-nucleotide ribosomal RNA is filed under the name uncultured marine bacterium. RNAcentral's name for it is "bacterial SSU rRNA". It matches the Rfam family "Bacterial small subunit ribosomal RNA", at positions 8 to 916 of the family's 1533-position model. The record is from RNAcentral.